Molecule: ribosomal RNA, 119 nt
Filed under: Gossypium arboreum
Lineage: Eukaryota; Viridiplantae; Streptophyta; Magnoliopsida; Malvales; Malvaceae
Source: RNAcentral
GGGUAUGAUCAUACCUGCAUUAAUGCACCGGAUCCCAUCAGAACUCCACAGUUAAGCGUGCUCGGGCGAGAGUAGUACAAGUAUGGGUAACCUCUUGGGAAGUCCUCGUGUUGCACCCC